This 453-nucleotide ribosomal RNA is filed under the name uncultured organism. Its description in RNAcentral is "bacterial SSU rRNA". It matches the Rfam family "Bacterial small subunit ribosomal RNA", at positions 28 to 507 of the family's 1533-position model. The record is from RNAcentral.
GAUGAACGCUGGCGGCGUGCUUAACACAUGCAAGUCGAACGGUCAUUUCGGUGACAGUGGCGCACGGGUGAGUAACACGUAGCUAACCUGCCUUCGAGUUUGGAAUAACGUCCCGAAAGGGAUGCUAAUACCGAAUAAGCUCCCGGUAAGUAGGUAACUGGGAGAAAAGGGGAAACUCGCUUGAAGAGGGGGCUGCGGACCAUCAGGUAGUUGGUGGGGUAAAGGCCUACCAAGCCAACGACGGAUAGGGGGCCUGAGAGGGUGGUCCCCCACACUGGGACUGAGACACGGCCCAGACUCCUACGGGAGGCAGCAGUGAGGAAUAUUGCACAAUGGGCGAAAGCCUGAUGCAGCGACGCCGCGUGGGCGAUGAAGGCUUUCGGGUCGUAAAGCCCUUUUCUGCGUGACGAGACAAGGACGGUAGCGCAGGAAUAAGUCUCGGCUAACUACGUG